CCCCGGGUACCUCCCAGGCAGGAGGGACCUUGGGCUGCAGACCUGACCUUGGAUCCCAACACCCCCCAGCACCAGAAUCGGGGUCUCUCUUCUCUCACUAACCCUCCAGCCCACACACACUCACCAAGAAACAGCCAGGCCAAGAGUCCAGGAAGGAAAAUAUCCAGCAAAAGGGACACUGGGCGCUUCCUGGGGUGCCUUUACACCCCUCCUCAUUUCCUCAUCAGCAACCUCCCACCCAUCAGCCAGUGACCUCAGCCGGACAUGGUCACUUAAUUUUGCAGAACACAAAACAUUUUUCCCAUCCUUUCCUGAGGAAGGCUGUGGUGGGUCAGAGUGUGGGCUUCAUCCAGUUCCUGACUGUCUGGGUUCAAACCCCAGCUCAGCCUCUUCUUAGCUGUUCAACCCUGGGCUGGUGCCUCUACCUCUCUGCACCUCAGUUUCCCCAUCUGUACAGAGGGGCUUACAGUAGAACCGCCUCCCAGGCCUGUUUUUCAUGUGGAAUGAGUCGAUGCACACAGCAAGUGCUCAGUAAUUGUUCCUGAGGUUCUCCGAGUUUGCAAGCCUGGGUCUGUGCCGAGUUCAGCAAAGAGGCUUGGGGACCCCCGCCCCCAUGCUCGUAUUGAAAGCUCAUCUGUGAAACUUCUCAGUCACCCUCUCCAUCCCGUUAGAGUUAUAUGUCCAAGUUAGAUUUUUAUUCUCUGGCGUCCACGUAACAAGCCGAGUUAUUAUUAUUUCUGGCCUAAAAUGUGCUGUGGUUCUGGGGGAGUAAUGGACCCAGGCUACGUUCUCUUCUGAUGAGGUGGCGUCCAAGCAUUUCUGGAAAACUGUGCACUGUUUUCCCAUCCGAAACAUUCAGCGUCACCAUGGACGUGGGACUUGAAGGUAGACACCGCUCCCACCCCUGGGCUGCCCAGCCCUUCCAGCCCCUCUGGAGAGGAGAUUCUGGGGGUCCCUCACUCCCUUCUGCUCCCAGCCCCACCCAAACCAAGAGCAUGGGAUCUCAGGGCUGGAGAAACCUCUUCCCCUUGUGUCAGAAAAUAACAACAUUCAUAAGGAUAACAGCAGGGGCAGGCUUCUUAUUCCAUCCUUAUAAUUACCAUCUGAGGGAAUUUGUCUCCUUAGCACCCUUGAAUAGGGAAGUGGAGGCCCAGAGAAGUGAACCAGCUUGCCCUAAGACACACAGCCAGGAAUGAGCAAGGGGGAUUGGAAUCCAAGCAAGUCUGAUAGAGAAACGCUGCCUUUUACGGCUUUCCUCAGCUUCCUCUGUAGAUGGACCGGAGACAGCCGUGUUCUUGCUCUCCUUCUCCGUCCUGUUUCAGCUUGGGUUCAAGGUGGUUUGCAAUCCAACGGGCCCAACUUCAUCAAUUCUCAUCAGUGUGACCCUGGCUCACGAAUUCCACCUUCUGAGCCUCAGUUUCCUCAUCUGCAGAAUGGGGGCAAUGCACAGUCUCCCUCAUUAGCAUGCUGUGAGAAUUCCCCAAGGUCAUGGACACUAAAACGUGCUGAGCUGGCAAUUCCUCAAUAAAUUAAGCAUAGAAUUACUGUAUGACCCCAGCAAUUCCACUCCUAAGUAUAUACUCAAAAGAAUUGAAAACAGGUGUUCAAACGAAGACUUGUACACAAACGCCCAUAGUAACACUAGUCACAAUAGACAAAAAGUGGAAACAAAUGUCCAUCAGUUGAUGGAUGAAUAAACAAAAUGUGGUAUAUCCAUACAAUAGACUACUAUUUAGUAGUAAAAAGGAAUGAAGUACUGAUCCAUGCUAUAACAUGAAUGAACAUGUGAAAGAGGCCAGACACAAAAGGCCUCAUGUUGUAUGAGUACAUUCAUAUGAAAUGCCCAGAGAAGGCAAAGCCAUAGAGACAGAAAGUAGGUUAGUGGUUUCCAGAGGCUAGAGGGAGGCAGGGAACGGGGAGUGACUGUUUCAUGGCUACAGAGUUUCCUCUUGGAGUGAUGGAAAUGUUCUGGAACUAGAUGGUGGUGAUGAUUGCACAACAGCGUGAAUGCACUAAAUGCCACUGAAUUGCACACUUUUACAAGGUUAAAAUGGUAAAAUUUAUGUGUCUUUUACCACACACACACACACACACACACACACACACACACACACAAGUGCUUAGCCCAGUGCCUGGUGUACAGAAAGCAUCCAGUGAAAGUUAGCCAGGAUUAUGAUCUUAUUUCAAGAGAAUCUUGUUGUACUCAGGGCUUGGGUUCCAGAGUUUGCUUGUGAAGCUUAAAUCAAGUCAAAACUACAAUCCACAAAACCCAGGACCUUUUUUCCCUGCCAUCCAUCAAUGGCUCCCAUACUUGGAUUCUGUGGCCACAUUUUCCAUGCCAUGUGGCAGCCAAUAGGUAACUCUGGGUGAUUCUGCCCAGCUGACAUUGCAAUUAUGGGAAAAGAAAGACAGUACAUCCCUAUACACGGGAUAAAUAGAGACUCUGAUGCCACAUAGCAAUGAGUGUUAUAAGGAAGAAUGAAAUGAGGGCUAGUUUAGCCAAGGUCAUCAAAGAAGGCUCCUUGGAAGAGGUGACUCAGGGAGCCAAGAGGAUCUCUAACUGUGACCUGCUCAGCCCUGCAUGAUUCACCCACAACUCCCGCAAGCCCCACCAGGCUCCCUCUGGUUCACUGCAUUCUAGCAACACAUUCUCUCAGUCACCUGGCUUGCUCUGUUCCCAGGACCUUUGCACAUGCUGAUCACUUUGCCAGGAGCCCUUUCCCCACAUCUGCCCCAGACCAGCUGCUUCUCACUCUCUGGAUAUUUCUCAAACGUCACCUCCUCAGAGAGGCCCUCCUGGACUGCCCUGCCUCAAGGGGUCCCCAGCAGUCAUCUUCUGUCACUUCCCCCUGCUUUAUUUCUAUCCUAGUACUUUUCCCACUUGAAAUUAUGUUUUUUUUUUUGUUUUUUUUUUUUGCAGUAUGCGGGCCUCUCACUGUUGUGGCCUCUCCUGUUGUGGAGCACAGGCUCCGGACGCGCAGGCUCAGCGGCCAUGGCUCACGGGCCUAGCCGCUCCGCGGCAUAUGGGAUCUUCCCGGACUGGGGCACGAACCCGUGUCCCCUGCAUCGGCAGGCGGAUUCUCAACCACUGCGCCACCAGGGAAGCCCUGAAAUUAUGUUUUUAUGUGUCUAUUAUCUGUCUCCGCUGUUAAACCGUCAGCUCCAUGACAGCAAGGCUUUUGGUCUGUCUUGUUUUCUGGUGUAUCCCCCUAUGCCUCAAGCCUAGAACCACGCCUAGCACAUAGUAGGUGUUCAAGAAACAUCUGUGGAAGUAAAGCACAAAUAAAUGAAUGAGUGAAUGUGUGAGUGAAUGAAUGAAAGAAUGCCUCUUUGCAGAGAGGAUGGGGCUCUGUCCAGAAAAGGGCCAAGAGUUCCCCAAGGGCAUGCAGUGGGAAGAGGGGUGACUCUACUGGUCCCCUCUUGGCUCAGGACUUAGCCGGGGUGCCAGGGAGGCCCUGCUUGUUGACGAGGGGCUGUGGCCAAGGUAGCUCUGGUGACCGCAGCCCCAUCUGUCUUCCUCCCUCUGGACGUCCACUCUGCUCACACAGUGUGGGAGCUCUGCCCGUCCAGCUCCCCAGCCCACGUCCUGGCUGUGACAGCCUCCAGCCCUGGGUGACCCACAGGGACUUCCCCCAACAGGUGAAGUCUGGGGCAGGGAGAAAGUGCUAGGCAGUUACCAAUCUGACCUUGUGUUCCUGAAAUUGCCAUCCAGGAAGUGAGUAGGGGGUGAGAGAGUCAGUGCGGCUCUACUGAAGGCCCCCCCAGCACCCCGCCUCCCAGUGGCACUUGAGGCCCGGCCCUCCGUCAGGACGCCCAGCCCAAGUGAUCCUGGGCGGGUGGGCACACUUCCCUGAGCCUCCAGCUCCUCAUGAGUAAACGCUGGUGAUAAUUCUCACCUCACGGGGCUGCGUGGAAAAGAAAUGGGGGCGUGUGAGCAAAAUGCCUCCCACAGGUCCUGCCGUGGGGCUGCAUGGGAUAUACUUACACUAACAGAUAUUGCACGGGAUAUACUUAUACGAAAAAUGUAUUUGCUGUUUAUCUGAAAUUCAAAUUUAGCUGGGCAUCCUGGGCUUUUUGUUGUUGUUAUGGAUCUUGUUUUUGUUGGUGCUAAAUCUGGCAACCUUAGCCAGGCACGAAAUGUGUUCAGUGAUGUUCACUGAAUGAACCAACAGAGCUAAAAUAUAUUAGCUGAAAGCAGAAACAAAUGAGGGAUUGGUUGAAAGCUCCGUUGUACAGGCAUUAUUAUUAUGGCUGUCAUUGUUUUCUCACUUGUGGUUCAAAAGUUCCUGCCUCUGAGAACAUUUCUGCUCCUGUCCCAGGCUCAGGCUGUUGGGGGAAGUUGGGACCUGCAGAGCAAAAUGACUCACCCAAGGCCCUCAGGGCCUGUCGCUUCUGAGGCCAGGCCAUCUGCACCCCCAGACAGCUCCUGUCCUCCACACGAUGAAAAAACCCACCCCCGCUGGGCACACGUGACCCCUCUGAAUCUCAGAACAGCCCCACCAGGCUGGGACAGCUGCCCUCCCACGGUGCCGAUGUGGAAAGUGAGGCUCCGAGAGGUGAAGGGACUCGUCCAAGCAGCCGGUGGCACCUCCUAGAUGCUGCUUCUCAUCCUGGGGCAGAACCUGGGGCCCAAGAGCUACAGCUGGCAGAGCUCCAGUCUCGGCUAGAACCAAAGAAGCCUGCCAAAGUCGGACCCAGAGGACUCCGUAUCCGGUGCCUUUUCUAGAACACCCGAGGCUGUUCCCACCAGACUCACCUGGGCUCCUGGGCACCUGGACCAUCUUCAGGAGACCUCAUCAUUCACCACCACCUUCAGGGGCCCACGGUGGAAUUCAGGGGCCCAUGAACCUGGACUGGGAAAGAAAGCCUUUACUCCAUUUUACCUGUAUUCGAGUAUUCAACCAUCAUAUGAACCACCUUACAGAUGGGGAAACUGGGACACAGACAGAAGUCCCUUGCCCAAGGUCAUGCAGCCAGGGAGUGGCAGAGCUGAGAUUUGAAUCCUAACACUUGCACUCUAAACCGCAGUGAUGAAAAUGAUAGCAAUAAAACUGCCAGCCAGUGUUUCCAGCGUAUAUUACAACUCUCUUCAGUCUAUCUGCCAAACAUAUCUGAGAAAGAACUUGUAUCCAGAAUAUAUAAAAAACUCUCAAGAUUCAAUAAUAAGAAAAGCCAAUUUAAAAACGGACAAAAGAUUUGAAUAUUGUAUAUCUUCGCUAAUUAAGAUCUAUUGAUUGUAAAUAAGUACGUGGAAAGAGGUUCAAUGCAAACUAAAACCACAAUGAGAAACCAGUAAACACCCAAUAGAAUGGCUAAAAUCUAAAAGACUGGCCGUACCAAGUGUUGGUGAAGACACGGAGGAGCUGGAAGCCUCGUGCACUUCUGGUCGGAAGGCAAAAUGGUGCAGCCUCUUUGGAAAGUGGUUUGACAGUUUCUUAAAAAGUUAAGCAUAUACUCAUCAUUCCAUCCAGCAAUUGCACUCCUGUAUGUUUACCCAAGAGAAACGAAAACAUGCCCACACGAAGACUUGUCCAUGUCUGUAGCAGUUUUAUUUGUAAUCCAGCCCUCAGGUCUCUUCCAUAGAGACCACCAAACACAUGUCUGUAUUAAUGCCUGGAAUGCUCUAGAAGGACCUCUACCUAAAGGAAUUCUUUCCUACCCCAGGCCCCAAUUUUUUUUUUUUUUGCCAACUUUUAAAAAUCUAGAAACAAUAAAUGCUGGAGAGGGUGUGGAGAAAAGGGAACACUCUUGCACUGCUGGUGGGAAUGUAAAUUGAUACAGCCACUAUGGAGAACAGUAUGGAGGUUCCUUAAAAAACUACAAAUAGAACUACCAUACGACCCAGCAAUCCCACUACUGGGCAUAUACCCUGAGAAAACCAUAAUUCAAAAAGAGUCAUGUACCAAAAUGUUCAUUGCAGCUCUAUUUACAAUAGCCAGGACAUGGA
This is a long non-coding RNA of Physeter macrocephalus (sperm whale), 5947 nucleotides long. RefSeq lists it as uncharacterized. The record is from RefSeq and is a predicted model, not a curated record. Lineage: Eukaryota; Metazoa; Chordata; Mammalia; Artiodactyla; Physeteridae. The transcript is spliced from 3 exons.